AUUGAACGCUGGCGGCAUGCCUUACACAUGCAAGUCGAACGGCAGCACGGGAGCAAUCCUGGUGGCGAGUGGCGAACGGGUGAGUAAAGUAUCGGAACGUGCCCAGUCGUGGGGGAUAACGUAGCGAAAGUUACGCUAAUACCGCAUACGAUCUAUGGAUGAAAGCGGGGGAUCGCAAGACCUCGCGCGAUUGGAGCGGCCGAUAUCAGGUUAGGUAGUUGGUGGGGUAAAGGCUCACCAAGCCGACGAUCUGUAGCUGGUCUGAGAGGACGACCAGCCACAAUGGGACUGAGACAAGGCCCAGACUCCUACGGGAGGCAGCAGUGGGGAAUUUUGGACAAUGGGCGAAAGCCUGAUCCAGCCAUGCCGCGUGCAGGAUGGAGGCCUUCGGGUUGUAAACUGCUUUUGUACGGAACGAAAAGGUUUGGCCUAAUAAGCUGAGCUCAUGACGGUACCGUAAGAAUAAGCACCGGCUAACUACGUGCCAGCCGCCGCGGUAA
RNAcentral lists this ribosomal RNA (500 nucleotides) under uncultured bacterium. RNAcentral describes it as "partial 16S ribosomal RNA". It matches the Rfam family "Bacterial small subunit ribosomal RNA", at positions 30 to 523 of the family's 1533-position model. The record is from RNAcentral.